This is a long non-coding RNA of Saccostrea echinata, 566 nucleotides long. RefSeq lists it as uncharacterized. Lineage: Eukaryota; Metazoa; Mollusca; Bivalvia; Ostreida; Ostreidae. The transcript has 3 exons. The record is from RefSeq and is a predicted model, not a curated record.
UAAACCUUAGAUUUUCCCAGCCUACUUGAUUUAUGGUGUUACAGUUGAGUCACAUAGGUGAUAAGUUGGUGGUGGCACUGAGAUCAUACUCAGUGGAGGUAUUUGAAGUUAACAAUGUCAGAAGUAAGCAGCAAAAUAAAAGUUCUCAUUCCAUCUUCAGUUAAAGGCAGACAUGCUAGUAAAUUAAGUGUUAGAAUGGAUUACAUGAAAGUGUGCCCAGAACCAAACAAUCCCUAUGAUGGAAAGGCAUUCAAGGUUAUUGUGCAAGACAAUAUUUAUGGGAGAGUGCCACAAAUAAUUAAGGAUAUUUUUCACACAGUGGAAAUAUUAUCAGUCCAAAAAAAGUUUUAUUAUGAGAUUUUAUGCAAACCUACAGUACUGGAAGAUGUACACUGUGAGGGUGGUAGGUGAAGAAGAGGGGGAGGCCUAGAGCAGCCAUGCAUUUAUGAGGUGCACGGAGCUGCACCCGUUCUUGAAAAGAUGAUGAAAGAGCUGAGUGGGCAAAAUGUUCCUUACAAGACAGAAACCAUCUAAAUGAUGAUUGGAAACGAAAAACUUGUGCAUAC